GUAGCGGGGGAUAACUACGCGAAAGCGUAGCUAAUACCGCAUACGCCCUACGGGGGAAAGCAGGGGAUCGCAAGACCUUGCACUAUUGGAGCGGCCGAUAUCGGAUUAGCUAGUUGGUGGGGUAACGGCUCACCAAGGCGACGAUCCGUAGCUGGUUUGAGAGGACGACCAGCCACACUGGGACUGAGACACGGCCCAGACUCCUACGGGAGGCAGCAGUGGGGAAUUUAGGACAAUGGGGGAAACCCUGAUCCAGCCAUCCCGCGUGUGCGAUGAAGGCCUUCGGGUUGUAAAGCACUUUUGGCAGGAAAGAAACGUCGCGGGUUAAUACCUCGCGAAACUGACGGUACCUGCAGAAUAAGCACCGGAUAACUACGUGCCAGCAGCCGCGGUAAUACGUAGGGUGCAAGCGUUAAUCGGAAUUACUGGGCGUAAAGCGUGCGCAGGCGGUUCGGAAAGAAAGAUGUGAAAUCCCAGAGCUUAACUUUGGAACUGCAUUUUUAACUACCGGGCUAGAGUGUGUCAGAGGGAGGUGGAAUUCCGCGUGUAGCAGUGAAAUGCGUAGAGAUCAGGAGGAACAUCCAUGGCGAAGGCAGCUACCUGGACCAACACUGACACUGAGGCACGAAAGCGUGGGGAGCAAACAGGAUUAGAUACCCCUGGUAGUCCACGCCCUAAACGAUGCGAACUGGAUGUUGGGUGCAAUUUGGCACGCAGUAUCGAAGCUAACGCGUUAAGUUCGCCGCCUGGGGAGUACGGUCGCAAGACUGAAACUCAAAGGAAUUGACGGGGGCCCGCACAAGCGGUGGAGUAUGUGGUUUAAUUCGAUGCAACGCGAAGAACCUUACCUGGCCUUGACAUGUCGAGAACUUUCCAGAGAUGGAUUGGUGCCUUCGGGAACUCGAACACAGGUGCUGCAUGGCUGUCGUCAGCUCGU
RNAcentral lists this ribosomal RNA (937 nucleotides) under uncultured Bacillus sp. Its description in RNAcentral is "bacterial SSU rRNA". It matches the Rfam family "Bacterial small subunit ribosomal RNA", at positions 133 to 1063 of the family's 1533-position model. Lineage: Bacteria; Bacillati; Bacillota; Bacilli; Caryophanales; Bacillaceae. RNAcentral also lists the same sequence under 1 other name. The record is from RNAcentral.